GGAUGCGAUCAUACCAGCACUAAAGCACCGGAUCCCAUCAGAACUCCGCAGUUAAGCGUGCUUGGGCGAGAGUAGUACUAGGAUAGGUGACCUCCUGGGAGGUCCUCGUGUUGCAUUCC
RNAcentral lists this ribosomal RNA (119 nucleotides) under Aegilops tauschii subsp. strangulata. Lineage: Eukaryota; Viridiplantae; Streptophyta; Magnoliopsida; Poales; Poaceae. The record is from RNAcentral.